This is a non-coding RNA of Mycena leptocephala, 98 nucleotides long. The record is from the annotation of a GenBank genome assembly. NCBI's taxonomy places the organism in Eukaryota, Fungi, Basidiomycota, Agaricomycetes, Agaricales, Mycenaceae.
GCCUCUGUGGAUUAAUGUAAAUCAUCUCUCCUCAAUAUUGAGGGAUCCGUGUAAAUUGGUUGAAGAGGAAGAUGUGGGUUCGAAUCCCACCAGAGGCA